GACGAACGCUGGCGGCGUGCUUAACACAUGCAAGUCGAACGGAAAGGCCCUGCUUUUGUGGGGUGCUCGAGUGGCGAACGGGUGAGUAACACGUGAGUAACCCGCCCUUGACUUUGGGAUAACUUCAGGAAACUGGGGCUAAUACCGGAUAGGAGCUCCUGCUGCAUGGUGGUGGUUGGAAAGUUUCGGCGGUUCGGGAUGGAGUCGCGGCUUAUCAGCUUGUUGGUGGGGUAGUGGCUUACCAAGGCUUGGACGGGUAGCCGGCCUGAGAGGGUGACCGGCCACAUUGGGACUGAGGUACGGCCCAGACUCCUACGGGAGGCAACAGUGGGGAAUAUUGCACAAUGGGCGGAAGCCUGGUGCAGCAACGCCGCGUGCGGGAAAACGGCCUUCGGGUGGUAAACCGCUUUCGCCUGUGACGAAGCGUGAGUGACGGUAAUGGGUAAAGAAGCACCGGCUAACUACGUG
Molecule: ribosomal RNA, 468 nt
Filed under: uncultured bacterium
Lineage: Bacteria
Description: partial 16S ribosomal RNA
Rfam family: Bacterial small subunit ribosomal RNA
Source: RNAcentral